GAUGAACGCUGGCGGCGUGCCUAAUACAUGCAAGUCGAGCGAACGGACGAGAAGCUUGCUUCUCUGAUGUUAGCGGCGGACGGGUGAGUAACACGUGGAUAACCUACCUAUAAGACUGGGAUAACUUCGGGAAACCGGAGCUAAUACCGGAUGAUAUUUUGAACCGCAUGGUUCAAAAGUGAAAGACGGUCUUGCUGUCACUUAUAGAUGGAUCCGCGCUGCAUUAGCUAGUUGGUAAGGUAACGGCUUACCAAGGCAACGAUGCAUAGCCGACCUGAGAGGGUGAUCGGCCACACUGGAACUGAGACACGGUCCAGACUCCUACGGGAGGCAGCAGUAGGGAAUCUUCCGCAAAGGGCGAAAGCCUGACGGAGCAACGCCGCGUGAGUGAUGAAGGUCUUCGGAUCGUAAAACUCUGCUAUUAGGGAAGAACAUAUGUGUAAGUAACUGUGCACAUCUUGACGGUACCUAAUCAGAAAGCCACGGCUAACUACGUG
RNAcentral lists this ribosomal RNA (497 nucleotides) under uncultured bacterium. Its description in RNAcentral is "partial 16S ribosomal RNA". It matches the Rfam family "Bacterial small subunit ribosomal RNA", at positions 28 to 507 of the family's 1533-position model. The record is from RNAcentral.